Molecule: ribosomal RNA, 462 nt
Filed under: uncultured bacterium
Lineage: Bacteria
Description: partial 16S ribosomal RNA
Rfam family: Bacterial small subunit ribosomal RNA
Source: RNAcentral
GACGAACGCUGGCAGCGUGCUUAACACAUGCAAGUCGAGCGGAAAGGCCCUUCGGGGUACUCGAGCGGCGAACGGGUGAGUAACACGUGAGUAACCUGCCCCAGACUUUGGGAUAACCCUCGGAAACGGGGGCUAAUACCGGAUACGACACAGCUUCGCAUGGGGUCUGUGUGGAAAGUUUUUCGGUUUGGGAUGGGCUCGCGGCCUAUCAGCUUGUUGGUGGGGUGAUGGCCUACCAAGGCGACGACGGGUAGCCGGCCUGAGAGGGCGACCGGCCACACUGGGACUGAGACACGGCCCAGACUCCUACGGGAGGCAGCAGUGGGGAAUAUUGCACAAUGGGCGGAAGCCUGAUGCAGCGACGCCGCGUGAGGGAUGACGGCCUUCGGGUUGUAAACCUCUUUCAGCAGGGACGAAGCGUAAGUGACGGUACCUGCAGAAGAAGCGCCGGCCAACUACGUG